AGGCCACUGCUAUCAGAGUUCGAUUAAGCCAUGCGAGUCGAGAGGUGUAAGACCUCGGCAUACUGCUCAGUAACACGUGGACAACCUACCCUAAGGAGGGGGAUAACCCCGGGAAACUGGGGAUAAUACCCCAUAGACUAUGGGUGCUGGAAUGCUUCGUAGUUCAAAGGUCCGCCGCCUUAGGAUGGGUCUGCGGCCGAUUAGGUUGUUGUUGGGGUAACGGCCCAACAAGCCUGUAAUCGGUACGGGUUGUGGGAGCAAGAGCCCGGAGAUGGAUUCUGAGACACGAAUCCAGGCCCUACGGGGCGCAGCAGGCGCGAAAACUUUACAAUGCGAGAAAUCGUGAUAAGGGAACUCUGAGUGCCCGUAAAAUCGGGCUGUCCAUCUGUUUAAAUAACAGGUGAAGAAAGGGCCGGGCAAGACCGGUGCCAGCCGCCGCGGUAAUACCGGCGGCUCGAGUGGUGGCCACUAUUACUGGGCUUAAAGCGUCCGUAGCUGGUCUGUUAAGUCUCUGGGGAAAUCUUCCGGCUCAACCGGAAGGCGUCUCAGGGAUACUGGCAGACUAGGGACCGGGAGAGGUGAGAGGUACUCCAGGGGUAGGAGUGAAAUCCUGUAAUCCUUGGGGGACCACCUGUGGCGGAGGCGUCUCACCAGAACGGCUCCGACAGUGAGGGACGAAAGCUGGGGGAGCAAACCGGAUUAGAUACCCGGGUAGUCCCAGCCGUAAACGAUGCGCGUUAGGUGUAUCGGUGACACGAGUCACCGAGGUGCCGAAGAGAAAUCGUGAAACGCGCCGCCUGGGAAGUACGGUCGCAAGGCUGAAACUUAA
RNAcentral lists this ribosomal RNA (829 nucleotides) under uncultured archaeon. RNAcentral's name for it is "bacterial SSU rRNA". It matches the Rfam family "Archaeal small subunit ribosomal RNA", at positions 21 to 859 of the family's 1478-position model. The record is from RNAcentral.